GGGCGCGUGGCGCAGUUGGUAGCGCGCAUGCUUAGCAUUCGGACAGCUUGGGAUUUGAACCCUUGCUUACGUAAUUGCAUGAGGGCCAGGGUUCAAAUCCCUGCGCGUCCA
Sistotremastrum niveocremeum HHB9708 is the source of this 111-nucleotide transfer RNA. It matches the Rfam family "tRNA". From Rfam's summary of the family: Transfer RNA (tRNA) molecules are approximately 80 nucleotides in length. Their secondary structure includes four short double-helical elements and three loops (D, anti-codon, and T loops). NCBI's taxonomy places the organism in Eukaryota, Fungi, Basidiomycota, Agaricomycetes, Sistotremastrales, Sistotremastraceae. The record is from Rfam.